UAAAGUUCUGAUGAAUAUAAAGAUUGAAAAGUUCCAAACCAAGACCCCCAGCAAUGACUGCACAAUGUCAAAUUUUUAACUUAGGGAGACUAAACUAUACCUCAACAAGGCUAUUCACAUAGGGAAUCAUUCUUGGAUCAUAAUCAACUUCAGUUGCCAAUUGUUUGAUAUCAUUCGUCCUCGUGUCGUAGGAAAUGAGUGUACUCCCCAAUCGUAUCACCACAAUUUUACCACCGAUAAACAAUACACUUUUCUGAUCAGUCUGACCAGCAAACACUGAAUCGUUUAAAGUUACAUUUUUCACAGACCAUGCUCUUGUUUUGCUAUGCAUUUGCAUUGUGUUUGUGUAGGGAUUUGACAGCUCUGCUAUUGUUAAUUUUGAACCUUGUAUGGAAGCAGAACACAACUUCCCAUUCACCUUACCCAGAGAACCAGAUGAAUAGGAAUAAAUGAGAGUUGACCGCUCACUCGUCAGAUCAAAAGCAACAACUGUACUCCUUGACUGCCAAUAAACAAUGCCAUCAACAUGAACACCUGUACUAGGAACAAUCUGCCGAUUACCAAAGCAAAUCUCACCAGAAGUUCUCCAAGAUCCUUCAGCAGAUGAAUAAAUAUCAAAUUCAUAUCCA
RNAcentral lists this unclassified non-coding RNA (629 nucleotides) under Hevea brasiliensis (rubber tree). The record is from RNAcentral. Lineage: Eukaryota; Viridiplantae; Streptophyta; Magnoliopsida; Malpighiales; Euphorbiaceae.